UACGUAGGUGGCAAGCGUUGUCCGGAUUUACUGGGCGUAAAGAGCGCGCAGGCGGCUGGUCAAGUCCGAUGUGAAAGCUCCCGGCUUAACUGGGAAAUUGCAUCGGAAACUGAUCGGCUGGAAGGUGGGAGAGGGAUGCGGAAUUCCAGGUGUAGCGGUGAAAUGCGUAGAUAUCUGGAGGAACACCGGUGGCGAAGGCGGCAUCCUGGACCGGUAUUGACACUGAGGCGCGAAAGCCAGGGGAGCAAACGGG
This 253-nucleotide ribosomal RNA is filed under the name uncultured bacterium. RNAcentral's name for it is "partial 16S ribosomal RNA". It matches the Rfam family "Bacterial small subunit ribosomal RNA", at positions 524 to 776 of the family's 1533-position model. The record is from RNAcentral.